UACGAAGGGUGCAAGCGUUAAUCGGAAUUACUGGGCGUAAAGGGCGCGUAGGUGGCCUUCUAAGUUGAACGUGAAAUCCCUGGGCUCAACCCAGGAACUGCGUCCAAGACUGGGAGGCUUGAAUCCGGGAGAGGGAUGCGGAAUUCCAGGUGUAGCGGUGAAAUGCGUAGAUAUCUGGAGGAACACCGGUGGCGAAGGCGGCAUCCUGGACCGGUAUUGACACUGAGGCGCGAAAGCCAGGGGAGCAAACGGG
RNAcentral lists this ribosomal RNA (253 nucleotides) under uncultured bacterium. RNAcentral's name for it is "partial 16S ribosomal RNA". It matches the Rfam family "Bacterial small subunit ribosomal RNA", at positions 524 to 776 of the family's 1533-position model. The record is from RNAcentral.